AUCACCUGGGGAUCUUGAUAAAGUGCAGAUUCUGAUUCAGUAGGUCUGGCAAGAGGCUGAAGAGUUUGCAUUUCUCACAAGCUCCCAGGUGAUACCAA
Molecule: microRNA precursor, 98 nt
Filed under: Camelus bactrianus (Bactrian camel)
Lineage: Eukaryota; Metazoa; Chordata; Mammalia; Artiodactyla; Camelidae
Also listed under: 2 other names
Description: mir-544 microRNA precursor family
Rfam family: mir-544 microRNA precursor family
Source: Rfam by way of RNAcentral